Bombina bombina (fire-bellied toad) is the source of this 184-nucleotide small nucleolar RNA. RefSeq annotates it as small nucleolar RNA SNORA23. The record is from RefSeq and is a predicted model, not a curated record. NCBI's taxonomy places the organism in Eukaryota, Metazoa, Chordata, Amphibia, Anura, Bombinatoridae. The transcript has a single exon.
GCAGGGCUGUGUGCACAGUGUUGGUCUGUGUUUAGGGGUGUAGCCAGCAUGUGUUUUGCAUGUUGGUUGCUCCCCUCACACAAAACCUGUAGCCAGAGAUUAAUUUGAGUUCAUAGUACUGGUCUAGUGAUGUCGUCUGAUGGACACUCUAUCCACUGACCAGCCUCCAAACUCUCAAACACAG